CGGUGCUGGGUGCAAGAAGCAGCGGAAAGACGGAGGGGGGUAGCGGGGUUCGGAAGUAGUGGGGGUAAAGGGCGCGCAGGUGGCUUAGCAAGUAAGGGGGGGAAGCCCGGAGCGCGACUCCGGAAGUGCCUUUGAAACUGAGGGGCUCGAGUACGGGAGAGGGGAGUGGAAUUCCCAGUGUAGAGGUGAAAUUCGUAGAGAUCCGGAAGAGCACCGGUGGCGAAGGCGGCCUGCUGGGCAGUAGCUGACGCUGAGGCGCGACAGCGUGGGGAGCAAACAGGAUUAGAUACCCGGGUAGUC
This 300-nucleotide ribosomal RNA is filed under the name uncultured Balnearium sp. RNAcentral's name for it is "Uncultured Balnearium sp. partial 16S ribosomal RNA". It matches the Rfam family "Bacterial small subunit ribosomal RNA", at positions 494 to 795 of the family's 1533-position model. Lineage: Bacteria; Pseudomonadati; Aquificota; Aquificia; Desulfurobacteriales; Desulfurobacteriaceae. The record is from RNAcentral.